GAUGAACGCUGGCGGCGUGCCUAAUACAUGCAAGUCGAGCGAACAGACGAGGAGCUUGCUCCUCUGACGUUAUCGGCGGACGGGUGAGUAACACGUGGAUAACCUACCUAUCAGACUGGGAUAACUUCGGGAAACCGGAGCUAAUACCGGAUAAUAUAUUGAACCGCAUGGUUCAAUAGUGAAAGACGGUUUUGCUGUCACUUAUAGAUGGAUCCGCGCCGCAUUAGCUAGUUGGUAAGGUAACGGCUUACCAAGGCAACGAUGCGUAGCCGACCUGAGAGGGUGGUCCGCCACACUGGAACUGAGACACGGUCCAGACUCCGACGGGAGGCAGCAGUAGGGAAUCUUCCGCAAUGGGCGAAAGCUUGACGGAGCAACGCCGCGUGAGUGAUGAAGGUCUUCGGAUCGUAAAACUCUGUUAUUAGGGAAGAACAAAUGUGUAAGUAACUAUGCACGUCUUGACGGUACCUAAUCAGAAAGCCACGGCUAACUACGUG
Molecule: ribosomal RNA, 497 nt
Filed under: uncultured bacterium
Lineage: Bacteria
Description: partial 16S ribosomal RNA
Rfam family: Bacterial small subunit ribosomal RNA
Source: RNAcentral